UCCGCACUGGUGUAACGGCUAGCAUACCGAGCUUUCACCUCGGAGACCGGGGUUCGACUCCCCGGUGCGGAA
Kalaharituber pfeilii is the source of this 72-nucleotide non-coding RNA. NCBI's taxonomy places the organism in Eukaryota, Fungi, Ascomycota, Pezizomycetes, Pezizales, Pezizaceae. The record is from the annotation of a GenBank genome assembly.